AAUGUCUGCAGCGAUAAAAUGGACUUCGUUUGUUUCUGGAUUAUAUUUGAACAGCCUCUUUUCACUGUCAUGGAAGAAAAGAUUCCCUUGCUUAGAAACUGUCACUGGUCUACACCACAACCUCCAUAUCCAAGGGUGAAGAGCUCUAGGGAAUAAACAAAAUGAGUACGUCUUGGUCCAUGUAUCUUCCUGUGGAUCCAAGCUCCAUAUCCUUACUUCCCAAUGAGAAACUCCAUAAUAUGUUUUAACCAAGGCUAGACGAUCUUCAAGGUUAACUAGCUCGCUCGGUUCCCGGGGUGUGGGCGGUGUUGGGACAUCACGAAACUGUUCAGUGUGAAGAUCCAGAGCUAGAAUCUUGAAACGCAUGUUAAGAUGUGUCACUCACAUGUUAAACGCAUGUCUCGGGACUGCUCCGCGGAA
Molecule: long non-coding RNA, 420 nt
Organism: Arabidopsis thaliana (thale cress)
Lineage: Eukaryota; Viridiplantae; Streptophyta; Magnoliopsida; Brassicales; Brassicaceae
Product: other RNA
Exons: 1
Source: RefSeq